AGCGAACGCUGGCGGCAUGCUUAACACAUGCAAGUCGCACGGGCAGCAAUGUCAGUGGCGGACGGGUGAGUAACGCGUAGGAACGUGUCCGGAGGUGGGGGACAACCCCGGGAAACUGGGGCUAAUACCGCAUAUGGGCUGAGGCCCAAAGCCGAGAGGCGCCUUUGGAGCGGCCUGCGUCCGAUUAGGUAGUUGGUGGGGGAAAGGGUUACCAAGCCUGCGAUCGGUAGCUGGUCUGAGAGGACGACCCGCCACACUGGGGCUGGGACACGGCCCAGACUCCUACGGGAGGCAGCAGUGUGUGAUGUUGGACAAUGGGCGGAACCCUGAUCCAGCAAUGCCGCUUGGGUGAAGAAGGUAUUCGGAUCGUAAAGCCCUUUCAACGGGGACGAUGAUGACGGUACCCGUAGAAGAAGCCCCGGCUAACUUCGUG
Molecule: ribosomal RNA, 433 nt
Filed under: uncultured bacterium
Lineage: Bacteria
Description: partial 16S ribosomal RNA
Rfam family: Bacterial small subunit ribosomal RNA
Source: RNAcentral